UCCAGUCUCAGGAUUCUUUAGGGCAUAAUCAACAGAGAAAGUCACUGGCUUCACAUAAUCAGCUGUAUCCUGAAAGAAUAAAAAGAACAGGCCUAGACAGAUGCUGCAUCCCCAUUCAGAAAAAUGGAUAAUCCAGUCCUAGAUUCUUUUGGCGCCAGGCUGGGACCCAUUUUGGGAACAACAAAGAGGAGAAGCAUCUUCAAACACCAACAGAAGAUGAGAAAGGGACUGACUGGCUUAAGUAAGAAAUAUCCUGCAACCAGAUGGGAAAGAGAGACUCAAGGCUUCAAAGAAGCCUGCCUCAAGGGGCACACUCAUAAAGGAGACCUAAAGGCUUCCUAUCUCCGUUCCCAAGAUUUGGUACUCUAAUCUUUGACAUUAAAUACAUUAAAGAAAAUC
Molecule: non-coding RNA, 399 nt
Organism: Pantherophis guttatus
Lineage: Eukaryota; Metazoa; Chordata; Lepidosauria; Squamata; Colubridae
Source: RefSeq, a predicted model, not a curated record